UCGAGGCCCGCCAGUCUAGU
This 20-nucleotide transfer RNA is filed under the name Cyrtodactylus ngati. RNAcentral's name for it is "partial tRNA-Asn". The record is from RNAcentral. Lineage: Eukaryota; Metazoa; Chordata; Lepidosauria; Squamata; Gekkonidae.